RNAcentral lists this long non-coding RNA (1455 nucleotides) under Marmota marmota marmota (Alpine marmot). RNAcentral describes it as "lncRNA (ENSMMMG00000015502.1)". The record is from RNAcentral. Lineage: Eukaryota; Metazoa; Chordata; Mammalia; Rodentia; Sciuridae.
UUUUUUUUUUUUUUUUUUUGGUACUAGGGAUUAAACUCAGGGGGACUAUGAGCCACAUCUCCAGCCCUAUUUUGUAUUUAUUUAGAGACAGGAUCUCAAUGAGUUGUUUAGUGCCUCACUUUUGCUGAGGCUGGCUAUGCACUUGCAAUCCUCCUGCCCUAGCCACUCGAGCUGCUGGGAUUACAGGUGUGCACCACCAAGCCUGUAGUUCUAUGACCAGUUUAAAGACAAAACAUAAUUUCAAAUAAUAUCUAAUUAUGUCUAACAAUAAAUAAUUUGUACCUGUCAUGGCUUUAAAUCUUUUCCCCUCUCAGCUCUGCCCCACUUAAAAGUCAAGGAGCCUGCUUUGGGGAAUGGAGGAGUGCUCUUUCUCCCCAUACUUCGUCUCCACCUAAUUGCUGCUAUUUAUUGUGUGCCCAAGUCGAGAGAGAGAGAGAGAGAGAGAGAGAGAGAGAGAGAGAGAAAGUAAGGGGGUAAAACAGUCUGGCUUGACUGGGAGGUUAUGUGUCCUAUGUGCCUGACAGAUAUUUCAUAGGUAAAUUCCUGCUGUCACCUAGAGACCUUGGUGGAUACAUAUAUAUUCUGGGUGGAACCCUACAACUCCCUCCCCAGCCCACAUGGCACACUCCUCACUUAUCUGUGCCAAGUCUCCUAGCUUCUUAAAAAUGGUCCUAUUGGACAAGACCAAAGACCCAACCCCACAGUUCCCUCUUUCCUGCAAGGAAAGAGGUUAAUUUUCCUUUGUCCAUCUAUUAAAUGCACUUCAGAAUUCAAUUCUGAGCCACUUUCUCUUUUUUUUUUCCUAUCAUUAAUACUUUAUCUAUUCCAUCAACUUUACCACCUCUAGGUUACAUCCCCAAAUCCCUAGCACAAUUUCACCCAUGUCUCAUACUUUUCUUUCCUUUCUUUUUCUGAGACAGGUCUCACUAUGUUGCUUAGGCUAGUUUCAAACUCUUGGACUCAAAUGAGCAAACACAACCCAGUUCUAGCUAUUGCUUAAGCCUUGCAGUAGUUAGGACUAUAGGCAUGCACCAUUACCCCUAGCUUGUCUCACUUUCAAAUGACAUCUGAUGAGCACCUGAACACUUUAACAGGUAUCAUCAGCCCACCCAGUUGCUCAAGCCAGAAACCUGGAACUUACUGCAGAUUCCAUUCUCUCAACCACCCUUGACAUCCCACCAAUUCUAUCUAAUGAAGUUCUCCUACUUCUUUCAUCACUAGUCCACAACACUUUGAUCUUAUGCUACAAACCUAGACUUUUACAAUACUGCUACUCUCAUCAAUCUCAACUCGAAUAGAUCUUGUCAUUUCUUAGCCUUCCCUAGGUAAAUGAGUACAUUGGCUAUUAUUCCUCAGGUGAUAAGCUGUGGAAACACAAAACUAAAUAUGGCUCAGAAGACUGAAGCCUAAUCAACAGAGUAACUACAACACAGUAUUUAAAUGCUACCUCUUUGU